RNAcentral lists this ribosomal RNA (618 nucleotides) under Triticum aestivum (bread wheat). Its description in RNAcentral is "partial small subunit ribosomal RNA". Lineage: Eukaryota; Viridiplantae; Streptophyta; Magnoliopsida; Poales; Poaceae. The record is from RNAcentral.
GCCGCGGGCGGCGCCACCGACCUCCCGGCGGGCCUCGCCACCGGAUCGCGCGGCAGGCACAAGGUCAUGGCCUUCGUCGGGAUCUUCACCGGGUUCGGCUCCGUCGGCCGCCGCCACGCGCUCAGGUGGACGUGGCUCCCCUCCGAUCGGCAGGGUCUCCUUUUGUUGGAGGAAGCUACUGGUCUGGCAUUCAGAUUUGUGAUCGGCAAAAGCAAUGACAAGUCUAAGAUGGCAGCUCUUGAAAGAGAGGUUGAAGAAUAUGAUGAUUUUGUGCUUUUAGAUCUUGAGGAGGAGUAUAGCAGGCUUCCAUACAAAACGUUAGCAUUCUUUAAGGCUGCCUAUGCGUUGUUCGAUUCUGAUUUCUAUGUUAAAGCUGAUGAUGACAUUUACUUGAGACCAGACCAACAUACACAAAUUUUAUUUUUGUAAGGUACACAUACACAAACAUACAUUGGAUGCAUGAAGAAGGGGCCUGUUUUUACUGAUCCCAAAUUGAAAUGGUAUGAGCCACAGUCCUUCCUACUUGGAUCAGAAUACUUCCUUCAUGCAUAUGGGCCUAUUUAUGCUUUAUCAGCUGAUGUGGUGGCAAGCUUAGUUGCUCUGAGAAACAACAGGUAA